RNAcentral lists this ribosomal RNA (497 nucleotides) under uncultured bacterium. RNAcentral's name for it is "partial 16S ribosomal RNA". It matches the Rfam family "Bacterial small subunit ribosomal RNA", at positions 28 to 507 of the family's 1533-position model. The record is from RNAcentral.
GAUGAACGCUGGCGGCGUGCCUAAUACAUGCAAGUCGAGCGAACAGACGAGGAGCUUGCUCCUCUGACGUUAGCGGCGGACGGGUGAGUAACACGUGGAUAACCUACCUAUAAGACUGGGAUAACUUCGGGAAACCGGAGCUAAUACCGGAUAACAUGUUGAACCGCAUGGUUCAACAGUGAAAGACGGUUUUGCUGUCACUUAUAGAUGGAUCCGCGUCGCAUUAGCUAGUUGGUAAGGUAACGGCUUACCAAGGCAACGAUGCGUAGCCGACCUGAGAGGGUGAUCGGCCACACUGGAACUGAGACACGGUCCAGACUCCUACGGGAGGCAGCAGUAGGGAAUCUUCCGCAAUGGGCGAAAGCCUGACGGAGCAACGCCGCGUGAGUGAAGAAGGUCUUCGGAUCGUAAAACUCUGUUAUUAGGGAAGAACAAAUGUGUAAGUAACUAUGCACGUCUUGACGGUACCUAAUCAGAAAGCUACGGCUAACUACGUG